AAUUAAUGUAUAGAUUUGGGAACUAUAUCCCGGUGGAAGGCAUUUGAUAAACUUUAACGCAGAGGACAAUGCUUUCUAAGGAAAUCAGGAUACGAGCCUUGUGUCACUGACAGGAGCUGGUGCAGGUUAAGAAGAAGAAUGAAAAUACAUUAAGCUUGCAGAGAAACCAUCCUUUCUGCACGGAUGUGAGAGCUUUAGAGCAAGAGCAGCUUAGGGGAGAUAAGCCCAGCUCUUAUUCCCAGCAAAAGGGAAGUGGAGUUAAGAACAUUUUAUAAGAAUCAGUGUUGAACUAGGUAGGGGUUUACUUGGCCAUCAAGAGUGCAGUUUUCACUUGCACUGAGAGGCCAGACUUAGGGCUCAGAUAGAAAGGAAUGUGCUUCCCUAGCACCCAAGGGAACUGAGAAAGAGAAAUUUAGCAGCUGCUUCAAAUCUUCUUAGUAGCAGUCGGGGUAUAUAGCUAAACUAACCAAACAAAUAAAUGGCUCUGGUUUUGGACUGGCAGUGGAAAGAAGUGAACUACAAUGGAAACUGGAAACAAUUUAAAAGACAGCUCUGUAGGGGAACAUGAGUGAAAUGGCUUUAUGCAACACAUAUGCUUAUUUGCCUCCUUUGUACCUAAUUUGUACCUAACGAUCUGCUUGGACUAGAUAACCAGUUUAUACAUCCUAAAUGGAUGACAGUGAAAUGGAUCUGGAGUGAAAGCGCACACAUCCCAGGGGCAGAGUGUGAGCUCCUCACGGGACUAUGCGUCUUUGAUAAAGGUACCUAGGGACACAUAGGUAGCGUGAAUUUGUGCCUUCAAACGUAAGAGGACCUGCUUGUUGCAAGAAACUCUCAGGGAAACAUUCCCUACCCACCUGCGUCUAGCCAAAUCCAAGGCUAAACAGCUUUUAUAUACCGACAAAAAAAAAAAUUGGAAAUCACCUGAAUGUUUGCCAGUUGGAAACUGGGUCUGCGUUUGUAAUAUUUUGCAACUCUUAAGAAGAAACAGAAGAAAGGCUGGCGGCCCCUCCUCUUUCCACCAACCCCAGCAUUCAAUAAAUACAGCAGAGUCCACUAUGUUGUUGGAGUCGGGCCUCGCUGGCCGCCCCACAAUCCCCACACCUCUUCCCCCUAGAACCCUGAAGAGGUUUCCUCUCUCUUCUCACAGAAGUGGGGCCAACACUGGUGGUUGGAAGGUCUUGGCUGAUAUCAGUUUGCCCCCUGAGGGGGGUCUACCUCAGACAUGCAGCAAACCCAGGGCCUGGUCCUAUCAGGAUGUUAUAUUUUAAGGAUCAACAAUCAAAACCAAAGAUGGCUUUCCAUGCCCUGGAAGUAAAUGCUCAAUUCAAAAUUGCAAUGAGACAUUUCUCAUGAGCAUCUUCCUCCCACCAUCUUCAUAUUCCUCUUGAAUUUUUUUUUCUUAUUCCCUUUUUAUCAUGUACUGCACGGCAAGUUCUUUGUAUAUAUUAAAUCACUUAAUCCUCAUAAAACCUACUGGCAUUAUUAAAACUAUUUUAUG
Molecule: long non-coding RNA, 1501 nt
Organism: Leopardus geoffroyi (Geoffroy's cat)
Lineage: Eukaryota; Metazoa; Chordata; Mammalia; Carnivora; Felidae
Exons: 4
Source: RefSeq, a predicted model, not a curated record